RNAcentral lists this ribosomal RNA (301 nucleotides) under uncultured bacterium. Its description in RNAcentral is "partial 16S ribosomal RNA". It matches the Rfam family "Bacterial small subunit ribosomal RNA", at positions 509 to 807 of the family's 1533-position model. The record is from RNAcentral.
CAGUCGCCGCGGGAAUACGUAGGUGGCAAGCGUUGUCCGGAAUUAUUGGGCGUAAAGGGCUCGCAGGCGGUUUCUUAAGUCUGAUGUGAAAGCCCCCGGCUCAACCGGGGAGGGUCAUUGGAAACUGGGAAACUUGAGUGCAGAAGAGGAGAGUGGAAUUCCACGUGUAGCGGUGAAAUGCGUAGAGAUGUGGAGGAACACCAGUGGCGAAGGCGACUCUCUGGUCUGUAACUGACGCUGAGGAGCGAAAGCGCGGGGAGCGAACAGGAUUAGAGACCCCUGUAGUCCCUGUCUCUUAUAC